This 79-nucleotide ribosomal RNA is filed under the name Diaphorina citri (Asian citrus psyllid). Lineage: Eukaryota; Metazoa; Arthropoda; Insecta; Hemiptera; Psyllidae. The record is from RNAcentral.
ACCCGCGGCGAUAGCACGUUGAAUACACCAGUUCCCCACGGAUCACUGAAGUUAAGCAACGUUGCGCGUGGUUAGUACC